This 426-nucleotide ribosomal RNA is filed under the name uncultured Pseudomonadaceae bacterium. RNAcentral's name for it is "bacterial SSU rRNA". It matches the Rfam family "Bacterial small subunit ribosomal RNA", at positions 356 to 774 of the family's 1533-position model. The record is from RNAcentral. Lineage: Bacteria; Pseudomonadati; Pseudomonadota; Gammaproteobacteria; Pseudomonadales; Pseudomonadaceae.
GGGGAAGAGUGGACAAGGGGCGAAAGCCUGAUCCAGCCAUGCCGCGGGUGUGAAGAAGGUCUUCGGAGUGUAAAGCACUGGAAGGUGGGAGGAAGAGCAGUUACCGAAUACGGUAGUGUUGGGAUGUUACCGACAGAAUAAGCACCUGUUAACUCUGUGCCAGCAGCCGUGGUAAUACAAGGGGUGCAAGCGUUAAUCGGAAUUACUGGGCGUAAAGCGCGCGUAGGUGGUUAGUUAAGUUGGAUGUGAAAUCCCCGGGCUCAACCUGGGAACUGCAUUCAAAACUGACUGACUAGAGUAUGGUAGAGGGUGGUGGAAUUUCCUGUGUAGCGGUGAAAUGCGUAGAUAUAGGAAGGAACACCAGUGGCGAAGGCGACCACCUGGACUGAUACUGACACUGAGGUGCGAAAGCGUGGGGAGCAAACA